RNAcentral lists this ribosomal RNA (252 nucleotides) under uncultured prokaryote. Its description in RNAcentral is "partial 16S ribosomal RNA". It matches the Rfam family "Bacterial small subunit ribosomal RNA", at positions 525 to 775 of the family's 1533-position model. The record is from RNAcentral.
ACGUAGGAGGCAAGCGUUAUCCAGAGUUACUGGGCGUAAAGCGCGUGCAGGCGGUGCGAUAAGUCGUGCGUGAAAGCUCCCAGGCUUAACCGGGAGAGGACGUGCGAGACUGUCGGACUAGAGGCAGGUAGAGGCAAGUGGAAUUCCGGGUGUAGUGGUGAAAUGCGUAGAGAUCCGGAGGAACCCCGGUGGCGAAAGCGGCUCUCUGGUUCAAUACUGACACUGAGAUGCGAAAGCGUGGGGAGCGAACGG